RNAcentral lists this ribosomal RNA (531 nucleotides) under uncultured bacterium. Its description in RNAcentral is "bacterial SSU rRNA". It matches the Rfam family "Bacterial small subunit ribosomal RNA", at positions 109 to 636 of the family's 1533-position model. The record is from RNAcentral.
AGUAAUACAUCGGAACAUGUCCAGUAGUGGGGGAUAGCCCGGCGGAAGCCGGAUUAAUACCGCAUACGAUCCAGGGAUGAAAGCGGGGGACCGAAAGGCCUCGCGCUAUUGGGGUGGCCGAUGGCGGAUUAGCUGGUUGGUGGGGUAAAGGCCUACCAAGGCGACGAUCCGUAGCUGGUCUGAGAGGACGACCAGCCACACUGGGACUGAGACACGGCCCAGACUCCUACGGGAGGCAGCAGUGGGGAAUUUUGGACAAUGGGCGCAAGCCUGAUCCAGCAAUGCCGCGUGUGUGAAGAAGGCCUUCGGGUUGUAAAGCACUUUUGUCCGGAAAGAAAACCUCUGUCCUAAUACGGCGGAGGGAUGACGGUACCGGAAGAAUAAGCACCGGCUAACUACGUGCCAGCAGCCGCGGUAAUACGUAGGGUGCAAGCGUUAAUCGGAAUUACUGCGCGUAAAGCGUGCGCAGGCGGUGAUGUAAGACCGAUGUGAAAUCCCCGGGCUUAACCUGNGAACUGCAUUGGUGACUGC